CCCUUAGAUGUUCUGGGCCGCACACGCGCUACACUGAAGGAGGCAGCGUGUACUCCUGGAUCGAAAGAUUUGGGUAACCCGCGAAUCUCCUUCGUGCUAGGGAUUGAGGUUUGCAAUUAUCCUUCAUGAACGAGGAAUUCCCAGUAAGUGCAAGUCAUAAGCUUGCGCUGACUACGUCCCUGCCCUAUGUACACACCGCCCGUCGCUACUACCGAUUGAAUGAUUUAGUGAGGACUUCGGACUGGGACCGAUGCGGCUUUCGGGCUGCGUCGGUAUUCUGGAAAGAUGUCCAAACUGUAUCAUUUAGAGGAAGUAAAAGUCGUAACA
RNAcentral lists this ribosomal RNA (327 nucleotides) under uncultured eukaryote. RNAcentral describes it as "partial 18S ribosomal RNA". It matches the Rfam family "Eukaryotic small subunit ribosomal RNA", at positions 1470 to 1796 of the family's 1831-position model. The record is from RNAcentral.